Rosa rugosa (rugosa rose) is the source of this 975-nucleotide long non-coding RNA. RefSeq lists it as uncharacterized. Lineage: Eukaryota; Viridiplantae; Streptophyta; Magnoliopsida; Rosales; Rosaceae. The transcript is spliced from 2 exons. The record is from RefSeq and is a predicted model, not a curated record.
UCCAAACAGUGUCUGAACUUUUCCAGACUAUUAAUUUUCGUAUCUAUACUUUCAAAAACAUCAAAAUGAUACCUGAAGAUUUAAACCCGAUCCAAUUUCCGUACCUGACAACAGUAAUAUCGUCAACGGCGUUAACUUUUAAAGGGUAAAAUUGGUACUUCUGAAAAGAAAAAGAAAAAACUUGAAGUUAACCCUCUCCUUCCACCUGCUUUCGGAUUCUUUUCUUUCUCUCUUUCUCUGAUGGUUGAUUCACUUCAUAAUAGUGCUAAAAUUCUUCGGCCUCCAAAACCUUAAUCUGGUUUAUUCAAAUUGAAGGGCUGGGGGCCGUGCAUGGGCUGGGCGGGGCUGCAAGGGUUGAGCAGGGCAUAUGCGUGAGCUAGCGAGGCUAAUGGACUCGCGGGGCUGGGCAAGCUUUGCGCAGGCGGGGUGUAGGCCGUGUGUAGCGAGGCAGACUUGCCCGAGCUCCAGGUUUUGCAGCUAUUGGAGAACAACUUCACUGGGUCUAUUACUCAAGGAGCUCUGCAUCUUGAUUCAAAUGGGUGAGAACUUUCUAAAUGGGUCGAUUCCUAAAGGUUUCUUUGGUUGCCCAAACUCACUCAAGUGGAGCUGCACGAGAUCGUCUGGGUCAGGGACUAAAUUACCUCAAUCUCUCAAUAAACCAUCUUGUGGGGAACAUGCCAUCUACCCUUUCGGCAAUAGAGAUAUACUUGGCAAAAAUCAAUUUCCCAGUUCUGCUUGAAACCUCCUUCGCUGGAAGUAGAACCACUUUUGAAAAGUUCUUCCUUUAUUUACUCCUCCUCUCUUGAUCCUAUAAAGGAAGUUCUUACUGUGGCCAUACCUCAUUUGCAACAAAGCUAUUUCUAAACUACUAUUUGAUUAGACUACUGCAAAAUUCUCAAUCAACCUUCAUUUCAUGGAUAUCAACAGAACAAACAAUUAAAACCUCAUGAAGUAAUCCAAAAGAAAUUAAAGAUA